This 1810-nucleotide non-coding RNA is filed under the name Arabidopsis thaliana (thale cress). RNAcentral's name for it is "bacterial SSU rRNA". It matches the Rfam family "Bacterial small subunit ribosomal RNA". Lineage: Eukaryota; Viridiplantae; Streptophyta; Magnoliopsida; Brassicales; Brassicaceae. The record is from RNAcentral.
AGAGUUUGAUCCUGGCUCAGAAGGAACGCCAGCCAUAUGCUUAACACAUGCAAGUCGAACGUUGUUCCGGGAGCUAGGCAGAAGGAAAAGAGGUUCCUAGCUCAAGGUAGUUGUCUCGCCCAGGAGGCGGAAGAGCUGAGAACAAAGUGGCUAACGAACGUAAGUGCGCGGGAAUCUGCCGAACAGUUCGGCCAACUUGAAGAAAGCUAAAAGCGCUGUUUGAUGAGCCCGGUGUAGUAUUAGGGUAGUUGGUUAGUGUAAAGGCUGACCGCCAAUGAUGCUUAGCUGGUCUUUUCGAUGAUCAGCCACACUGACUGGAGACACGCCCGACUUACGGGGCAGUGGGGAAUCUGGACAAUGGGCGAAAGCCCAUCCAGCAAUAUCGCGAGUGAAGAAAGGCAAUGCCGCCAGGGCUCUUCGCCGAGUGCGUGAUCAUGACAGACUCGAGGAAGAAGCCCCGGCUAACUCGCGUCAGCAGCCGCUAAACGGGGGCAAGUGUUCUUCGGAAAUGACCGCGAAGGGUAUCGUAGGCGGUGAAUCGGGUUGAAAGUGAAAGUCGCCAAAAGUGGCGGAAUGCUUUCAAACCAAUCACUUGAGGAGACAGAGGAGGAGUGAAUUUCGUGAGGUGAAAUUACAGAUCUACGAAGGAACGCCAAAAGCGAAGGCAGCUCGGGUCCCCACCGACGCUGGGGUGCGAAAGCAUGGGAGCGAACGGAUUAGAUACCCUGGUAGUCCAUGUCAGAACGAUGAGUGUUCGCCCUUGGUCUACGAGAUCGUGGGUCUCAGCUAACGCGCGUGAACACCUGCUGGGGAGUACGGUCGCAAGACCGAAACUCAGCGAAUUGACGGGGCCUGCACAAGUGGUGGAGCAUGCGGUUUAAUUCGACAACGCGCAAAACUUACCAGCCCUUGACAUGAACAACAAAAACCUAUCCUGAACGGAUGGUACCACUUUCAUACAGGUGCUGCAUGGCUGUCGCCAGCUCGUCGCGGAGAUGUUUGGUCAAGUCCUAUAACGAGCGAAAACCCUCGCCUUGUGUUGCCUCGACAUGCGCCUAAGGAGAAAGGCUUGAAACCGGCGAGCCAUGGUUCGAGGACGCGGCCAGACCUAGUAAUUGAGUGACAGCAACUAGCUCUGCUCGAAGAAGGAGACGCGCCUUCCAAGCCCUUUCUAGUCUGCGCUGAGUUUGAUUGCAGCUGGAAGCGCCGCGCUUUACUAAGAAGUGCGAAAGGCUUUUCGCUUGUUUAGUAAAGUCGCUUUUGACCCAGGUGACGACGACGCUGAAGUUGGCGGCGGAGAAAGACUCGCAUUCAGGCGAAGCCCGGUGGUGGGACGGCGGCGGGUUAGUACGCCCUGCCAAAACGGUUCGAAACAACAAAAGAAAGCGGCCGCACUACACGAGGGACCGCCAGUGAUAUACCGGAGGAAGGUGGGAUGACGUCAAGUCCGCAUGGCCCUUGCGGGCUGGGCCACACGCGCUACAAUGGCACCAAUAAUGGGAAGCAAGGUCAGAAGGCGGAGCUAAUCCGAAAGAUUGCCCAGUUCCGAUUGUUCUCCGCAACUCGGAACAUGAAGUUGGAAUCGCUAGUAAUCGCGGAUCAGCAUGCCGCGGUGAAUAUGUACCGGCCCUGUACACACCGCCCGUCACACCCUGGGAAUUGGUUUCGCCUGAAGCAUCGGACCAAUGAUCACCAUGACUUGUGUUACCACUAGUGCCACAAAGGCUUUGGUGGUCUUAUUGGCGCAUACCACGGUGGGGUCUUCGACUGGGUGAAGUCGAACAAGGUAGCCGUAGGGAACCUGUGGCUG